RNAcentral lists this transfer RNA (94 nucleotides) under Nevskiaceae bacterium. Its description in RNAcentral is "tRNA-Ser". It matches the Rfam family "tRNA". Rfam says of the family: Transfer RNA (tRNA) molecules are approximately 80 nucleotides in length. Their secondary structure includes four short double-helical elements and three loops (D, anti-codon, and T loops). Lineage: Bacteria; Pseudomonadati; Pseudomonadota; Gammaproteobacteria; Nevskiales; Nevskiaceae. The record is from RNAcentral.
GGACGGUUGCCGGAGUCCGGCUUAUCGGCGCUCUUUGCUAAAGAGAUGGAUCGCCACAGCGGUCACGAGGGUUCAAAUCCCUCACCGUCCGCCA